This 681-nucleotide ribosomal RNA is filed under the name Triticum aestivum (bread wheat). RNAcentral's name for it is "partial small subunit ribosomal RNA". Lineage: Eukaryota; Viridiplantae; Streptophyta; Magnoliopsida; Poales; Poaceae. The record is from RNAcentral.
AUGAAGUGGGCUAAGCCUUACUUCAUGGAUGCUUUUUGCGCCAAGAUGACCAGCACGCAACAGAGUGAAAUUGCAAACCAUUUGCAGAAAGGAUAUGUGCCACCAGGAUCCUUGGUGCACCUUUUCAUCAGGCAAUAUGAGAAGAUGCAAUUUGACAGAGAUUCAGAGGAGAGUUAUCGAGAGAAGAGAACCAAACUGGGUGGUGUUUUGCUUGCUCAGAACCUACCUAUUGAGAUACAUGCAUCAAAAAUUUAUACGAAGGACAUGUUUGAAAAUUUUGGCGAGAUGCUAUAUGAAUGUGGGUCAUAUGUUCUGAUCGAAGUUGUGCCUCGUCGUGAAUACAUAGCGAGGCAUGUAAAGAAAGAUUCAAGGGACAAAUGGUGUAAAAAUGAAUUCCGCGUCCAGGUCAACAAGCUUGCUGACGAAUUCAAGUGUGAAUGUGGAAUGUUUGAACAUUUUGGCAUGGUGUGCAGCCAUGCACUGAAGGUAAUGAUACAGCUUGGUCUGCAGGAGGUUCCAGCCGGGCAAAUACUGAAGCGUUGGACAAGGGAUGCAAGACUCGGUGACAACAAUGCGGAUGCAUAUGCUCUUGCGAUGGAUCAACUAAGAAAUAUGAAAACAUUGCUUUGCGGCGCCAUCAAAGAAGAGACUAGCGGGGUGCCCUACGAUAAGCCACAAUAA